This 365-nucleotide ribosomal RNA is filed under the name uncultured bacterium. RNAcentral describes it as "bacterial SSU rRNA". It matches the Rfam family "Bacterial small subunit ribosomal RNA", at positions 29 to 424 of the family's 1533-position model. The record is from RNAcentral.
AGCGAACGCUGGCGGCAGGCCUAACACAUGCAAGUCGAACGGAUCCUUCGGGAUUAGUGGCGGACGGGUGAGUAACACGUGGGAACGUGCCCUUUGGUUCGGAACAACUCAGGGAAACUUGAGCUAAUACCGGAUGUGCCCUUCGGGGAAGAUUAUCGCCAUUGGAGCGGCCCGCGUCUGAUUAGCUAGUUGGUGGGGUAAAGGCCCACCAAGGCGACGAUCAGUAGCUGGUCUGAGAGGAUGAUCAGCCACAUUGGGACUGAGACACGGCCCAAACUCCUACGGGAGGCAGCAGUGGGGAAUCUUGCGCAAUGGGCGAAAGCCUGACGCAGCCAUGCCGCGUGAAUGAUGAAGGUCUUAGGGUU